GUUUUCGCUUUAAGUUUGUAGCAUACGUUACUUGCGUGUCAAAAAAGAACCAGUUCACAGGGUGAGAUUGGUGACGCCUCUGAACGAGGGCAAUUCACUAAUGAUCCUUCCGCAGGUUCACCUACGGAAA
Molecule: unclassified non-coding RNA, 130 nt
Filed under: uncultured fungus
Lineage: Eukaryota; Fungi
Description: sequence contains ITS1
Source: RNAcentral